This is an RNA transcript of Momordica charantia (bitter melon), 1232 nucleotides long. It is a transcript of the gene named BolA-like family protein, with no coding region annotated. The record is from RefSeq and is a predicted model, not a curated record. NCBI's taxonomy places the organism in Eukaryota, Viridiplantae, Streptophyta, Magnoliopsida, Cucurbitales, Cucurbitaceae.
CUGCAGACCAAACAUUCAUACGGGAAAACGAGAAGAUCGAUCGAACAAACCAACAAAGUGAAGCAGGUGGAUCGAUUGAGAUGGCGAUGGUUAGGGUUCCGCAAGUUGCGUUCCGUCGGGUUCUUCCACUGUUCGUUCACCGCGACGUACCCUUUUUGGUUGUCUCCCGGCAAAUCACGACCAAUUGCGUCCGCACCGCCGCCGCCGCUAUUUCCUCCAGAACCACCACCAGUGUCCGUUGUAAGAGCAGUAAUGUUGCAAAAUAUGGCUCUGCUAACGGAACGUUCUCGAAAUGGGGUUCGAGUCGGAACUUGAGUAUUAGAGCUACUCAAGUGAAUGACUCCGGGUCUAUCGAUUCCCCACUCAUGCAGUCAAUGGAGAACAAGAUUAAGGAACAACUAGAUGCACAAUCUGUCACUGUAAAAGAUGCUUAUGGGGAUGGACGACAUGUUAGCAUUGAUGUUAUUUCUUCAGCCUUUGAGGGACAAUCGGCUGUAAAUCGGCAGAGGAUGGUGUACAAAGCUAUUUGGGAGGAGCUGCAGAGCACAGUGCAUGCAGUGGAUCAGAUGACCACCAGAACACCCGCCGAAGCAGCAGUCAAGAAUUCAUAAUUUUAAAAGUUUGUCCAAGCCUCCAUUUGCCAAUAAAUUCCUUACAAUUAAAAGGGCUCGAUUCUCCUCCAAGACUCCUUCAGCUGAAACCUUCUCCCUCUGCAUGUUAGAAAGCUCAGAUCCCAUACGAUGAGAUGCGGAGCAGACCCGCACGCUGCUAGCCUGAAAGGUCGGUUGUUAACAUCACAAAGUUGUAAAAGAUGUUAUUGAUAGUAAAAGGAAAGAAGCAUACCUACGAAUAUCAUAGAUGGCCUGGCAGAGCUCAACGAUCAGGCUUGCUAGGUUCCAACGCUUCAGGAGCCUGAUAGGGCCCCGAAAAGUUGAAAGCAGGGAGUUGCAGGUGUGAGACCCUCAGCUCGAUGAGAUUCGAAUGUCGGUGGUAUAGGAGGCCCAGCUAGGAUAGGUGUCGUUUUCGGCAGGGGAGCUCGAGCAGAGGGUGCAGAGGACGAGCUGCAGCAAUGGUUGUCGCAACUGGCAGCCUGCUCGGGGCAGGCGUCUCCUUUGAGAAUUGAAGCCAAAAUUAAGUUAUAAAUAUUUAUUCAUUUUUAUUUUCUCAUUCCUUUGAUUUCGGUAAUUUAAGAUUUACGGAAGGCUAACCUAUCAAAACUAGAUUGAAGCUCA